RNAcentral lists this ribosomal RNA (559 nucleotides) under Staphylococcus epidermidis. Its description in RNAcentral is "partial 23S ribosomal RNA". It matches the Rfam family "Bacterial large subunit ribosomal RNA", at positions 2367 to 2925 of the family's 2925-position model. The record is from RNAcentral. Lineage: Bacteria; Bacillati; Bacillota; Bacilli; Caryophanales; Staphylococcaceae.
GCUUGACUGCGAGACCUACAAGUCGAGCAGGGUCGAAAGACGGACUUAGUGAUCCGGUGGUUCCGCAUGGAAGGGCCAUCGCUCAACGGAUAAAAGCUACCCCGGGGAUAACAGGCUUAUCUCCCCCAAGAGUUCACAUCGACGGGGAGGUUUGGCACCUCGAUGUCGGCUCAUCGCAUCCUGGGGCUGUAGUCGGUCCCAAGGGUUGGGCUGUUCGCCCAUUAAAGCGGUACGCGAGCUGGGUUCAGAACGUCGUGAGACAGUUCGGUCCCUAUCCGUCGUGGGCGUAGGAAAUUUGAGAGGAGCUGUCCUUAGUACGAGAGGACCGGGAUGGACAUACCUCUGGUGUACCAGUUGUCGUGCCAACGGCAUAGCUGGGUAGCUAUGUAUGGACGGGAUAAGUGCUGAAAGCAUCUAAGCAUGAAGCCCCCCUCAAGAUGAGAUUUCCCAACUUCGGUUAUAAGAUCCCUCGAAGAUGACGAGGUUAAUAGGUUCGAGGUGGAAGCGUGGUGACACGUGGAGCUGACGAAUACUAAUCGAUCGAAGACUUAAUCAAAUU